Molecule: ribosomal RNA, 274 nt
Filed under: uncultured bacterium
Lineage: Bacteria
Description: partial 16S ribosomal RNA
Rfam family: Bacterial small subunit ribosomal RNA
Source: RNAcentral
AUACGGAGGGUGCAAGCGUUACUCGGAAUCACUGGGCGUAAAGCGCGCGCAGGCGGGCUGAUAAGUUGGAUGUGAAAGCCUACGGCUCAACCGUAGAACUGCAUCCAAAACUGUCAAGCUAGAGUCUGGGAGGGGAAGAUGGAAUUAGUUGUGUAGGGGUAAAAUCCGUAGAGAUAACUAGGAAUACCAAAAGCGAAGGCGAUCUUCUGGAACAGUACUGACGCUGAGGCGCGAAAGCGUGGGGAGCAAACAGGAUUAGAAACCCCAGUAGUCC